GGUUUGGCAAGGAUGGGUUCUUCAGCCAUAAAGAGAUCACUGUACUGUUUGUUCCUGAUUUAUUUGACUGCCUGCCUUCAUUGGAUAUAUGGCGAGACCAGUGGCUUUCACACNNNNNNNNNNNNNUGUUGCUGAGAGAGUGCGUCAACUCUCAUUAAAAAAAGAGAGGUCUAGGGAGAAGAAGGAAGGGCUGAAAGGUAAAGGAACAGAUUCUUCAAAAGAUUCUAAAAGGGUCGACAAAUCGGAAACAACCAAAGAGUCUGCAUUCUCUGGUGUCAAUAAUAAGGAGAAAGAUGGGAAAGGUAAAAUGAUUGCAGAAAAGGGUGAUGACAAUGACAAGAACCUUGAGAAGAA
Molecule: unclassified non-coding RNA, 354 nt
Filed under: Hevea brasiliensis (rubber tree)
Lineage: Eukaryota; Viridiplantae; Streptophyta; Magnoliopsida; Malpighiales; Euphorbiaceae
Source: RNAcentral